CCAGUUUGAUCAUUGCUCAGAUUGAACGCUGGCGGCAGGCCUAACACAUGCAAGUCGAGCGGAUGAUGGGAGCUUGCUCCCGGAUUCAGCGGCGGACGGGUGAGUAAUGCCUAGGAAUCUGCCUGGUAGUGGGGGACAACGUUUCGAAAGGAACGCUAAUACCGCAUACGUCCUACGGGAGAAAGCAGGGGACCUUCGGGCCUUGCGCUAUCAGAUGAGCCUAGGUCGGAUUAGCUAGUUGGUGGGGUAAAGGCCUACCAAGGCGACGAUCCGUAACUGGUCUGAGAGGAUGAUCAGUCACACUGGAACUGAGACACGGUCCAGACUCCUACGGGAGGCAGCAGUGGGGAAUAUUGGACAAUGGGCGAAAGCCUGAUCCAGCCAUGCCGCGUGUGUGAAGAAGGUCUUCGGAUUGUAAAGCACUUUAAGUUGGGAGGAAGGGCAGUAAGUUAAUACCUUGCUGUUUUGACGUUACCAACAGAAUAAGCACCGGCUAACUUCGUGCCAGCAGCCGCGGUAAUACGAA
Molecule: ribosomal RNA, 526 nt
Filed under: uncultured Gammaproteobacteria bacterium
Lineage: Bacteria; Pseudomonadati; Pseudomonadota; Gammaproteobacteria
Description: bacterial SSU rRNA
Rfam family: Bacterial small subunit ribosomal RNA
Source: RNAcentral